CAGCCGCCGCGGUAAUACGUAGGGUGCGAGCGUUAAUCGGAAUUACUGGGCGUAAAGCGUGCGCAGGCGGCUUUGCAAGACAGAUGUGAAAUCCCCGGGCUCAACCUGGGAACUGCAUUUGUGACUGCAAGGCUAGAGUACGGUAGAGGGGGAUGGAAUUCCGCGUGUAGCAGUGAAAUGCGUAGAUAUGCGGAGGAACACCAAUGGCGAAGGCAAUCCCCUGGACCUGUACUGACGCUCAUGCACGAAAGCGUGGGGAGCAAACAGGAUUAGAUACCCCGGUAGUCCCUGUCUCUUAUAC
Molecule: ribosomal RNA, 301 nt
Filed under: uncultured bacterium
Lineage: Bacteria
Description: partial 16S ribosomal RNA
Rfam family: Bacterial small subunit ribosomal RNA
Source: RNAcentral